RNAcentral lists this non-coding RNA (29 nucleotides) under Rattus norvegicus (Norway rat). Lineage: Eukaryota; Metazoa; Chordata; Mammalia; Rodentia; Muridae. The record is from RNAcentral.
UUCUUUGGAUGCUGUGUCUAUCCCUCAUU